RNAcentral lists this ribosomal RNA (91 nucleotides) under Bacillus paralicheniformis. Its description in RNAcentral is "partial 16S ribosomal RNA". It matches the Rfam family "Bacterial small subunit ribosomal RNA", at positions 1 to 89 of the family's 1533-position model. Lineage: Bacteria; Bacillati; Bacillota; Bacilli; Caryophanales; Bacillaceae. The record is from RNAcentral.
UUCAUGGAGAGUUUGAUCCUGGCUCAGGACGAACGCUGGCGGCGUGCCUAAUACAUGCAAGUCGAGCGGACAGAUGGGAGCUUGCUCCCUG